CGCAAGUAGAGUGGCGAACGGGUGAGUAAUACAUCGGAACAUUUCCAGUAGCGGGGGAUAACCUGUCGAAAGAUAGGCUAAUACCGCAUACGACCUACGGAUGAAAGCGGGGGACCUUCGGGCCUUGCGCGAUUGGAGCGGCCGAUGUUAGAUUAGGUAGUUGGUGGGGUAAAGGCUCACCAAGCCGACGAUCUAUAGCUGGUCUGAGAGGACGACCAGCCACACUGGAACUGAGACACGGUCCAGACUCC
This 251-nucleotide ribosomal RNA is filed under the name uncultured bacterium. RNAcentral describes it as "partial 16S ribosomal RNA". It matches the Rfam family "Bacterial small subunit ribosomal RNA", at positions 85 to 339 of the family's 1533-position model. The record is from RNAcentral.